This 597-nucleotide long non-coding RNA is filed under the name Marmota monax (woodchuck). The record is from RNAcentral. Lineage: Eukaryota; Metazoa; Chordata; Mammalia; Rodentia; Sciuridae.
UGUCUCGUGUUAUUAGCAACAGAUAAUGGACUAAGGUACCUGGCUUUUGCCUAGGCGCCUCCUGGGUCCUUGCCUCCCGGGUGCUACCCUGGUGAGUGCUAGGCUUGUGGGUUGGCGGUAGAGACCUGCUCUGAGAUGAAGACACAUCCUGUUCAAAUCAUGUCGCACUAAACCACGUGGGGGCCACUCCUCCCCUCCGGCUGAGAACACUGCCUGCAUCCUGGUGUCUGCAGUGCACAGACACUAAUAACCAAUCACACACGUGUGUGGGGCACAGGCCAAGGAGCCUGGAUGAAUGGGUGGCCCUGUCUGAACCUGAGCUCAGGUGAGUGCUCUUGGGCACUGGGUUUUGCCACUAGUAAUGUUGAUGCAGUGUCCUGUCUCAGUGUCCUGCUCUGACAUGCUUGGUCUGCUGUCUGCUCUGUGUCCUGUUGUGUUUUCUGGCACCUACAGGACAGACGUGACACAGCCAACUCACUCAAUAUGGCAGCAGGUGUGGCAAACAGAGCAGGCGUUGGGGUGAAAUCAGGUUCAUCUUGGCUGUUGCUCUGGGACCAUCGGGGCAGGCCGUCUUCAGACUUGUCCCUUACCCUCUUG